This is a non-coding RNA of Acanthosepion pharaonis, 115 nucleotides long. Lineage: Eukaryota; Metazoa; Mollusca; Cephalopoda; Sepiida; Sepiidae. The record is from the annotation of a GenBank genome assembly.
UUACGGCCAUAUCACGUUGAAACACAGGUUCCUGUACGAUCACCGAAGAUAAGCAGCGUCGAGCCUGGUCAGUUACCUAGACGGGUGACCACUUGGGACUAUCAGGUGUUGUAAG